Long non-coding RNA from Suricata suricatta (meerkat), 223 nucleotides. RefSeq lists it as uncharacterized. The transcript has 3 exons. The record is from RefSeq and is a predicted model, not a curated record. Lineage: Eukaryota; Metazoa; Chordata; Mammalia; Carnivora; Herpestidae.
AAUGAGCCAUCAUAAUGGGAGGAUACUCAAACAGACCUGGAAGAGUCUACCUGAAGAACUGGGCUCCUUCUAAAAGCCAUCACUAGCUUGAGAGUCAUACUCCUGAAUAUGACUGGGAAGGGACAGUCGCCCGUCCUUCGCACCUAGAGAACUGUUCUUGGGGUCUACGGAAGACAGAUAACAUUGAAUGCUGCAGAGAUAAUGUGACUUGUCCAAAGAGCCG